CCUACGGGAGGCAGCAGUGGGGAAUAUUGCACAAUGGGGGAAACCCUGAUGCAGCGACGCCGCGUGAGUGAAGAAGGAUUUAGGUUUGUAAAGCCCUGUCAGCAGGGAAGAUUAUGACGGUAUCUGACCAAUAAGCACCGGCUAACUCCGUGCCAGCAGCCGCGGUAAUACGUAGGGUGCAAGCGUUACCCGGAUUUACUGGGUGUAAAGGGUGCGUAGACGGGGGGGUAAGUCAGAUGUGAAAUGCGGUGGCUUAACUACAGGACUGCACUGGAAACUGCCAGGCUGGAGUGGAGGAGAGGUAAGUGGAAUUCCUGGUGUAGCGGUAAAAUGCGUAGAGAUCAGGAGGAAUACUAGUGGCGAAGGCGACUUGCUGGACUGUAACUGACGUUGAGGCACGAAAGCGUGGGGAGCAAACAGGAUUAGAUACCCCUGUAGUC
RNAcentral lists this ribosomal RNA (440 nucleotides) under uncultured bacterium. Its description in RNAcentral is "partial 16S ribosomal RNA". It matches the Rfam family "Bacterial small subunit ribosomal RNA", at positions 338 to 795 of the family's 1533-position model. The record is from RNAcentral.